RNAcentral lists this ribosomal RNA (253 nucleotides) under uncultured prokaryote. RNAcentral's name for it is "partial 16S ribosomal RNA". It matches the Rfam family "Bacterial small subunit ribosomal RNA", at positions 525 to 777 of the family's 1533-position model. The record is from RNAcentral.
ACGAGGGGGGCGAGCGUUGUUCGGAAUCACUGGGCGUAAAGAGUGCGUAGGCGGUCGUGAAAGUUAGAAGUGAAAGCCCCAGGCUCAACCUGGGAAUUGCUUUUAAAACUACAUGACUCGAAUUCGGGAGAGGAUAGCGGAAUUCUCAGUGUAGCAGUGAAAUGCGUAGAUAUUGAGAGGAACACCGGUGGCGUAAGCGGCUAUCUGGACCGACAUUGACGCUGAGGCACGAAAGCGUGGGGAUCAAACAGGA